CGGAAGGCUUAAUACAUGCAAGUCGAGCGGUAGUCCCCGUUCGGGGGAUGAGAGCGGCGCACGGGUGAGUAACGCGUACAUGACCUACCUUUAAGACUGGGAUAGCCCUGGGAAACUGGGAUUAAUACCGGAUGUGAUAAUACGUAUAGAGAUGUAUUAUUAAAGUUGAGGCGCUUAGAGAUGGAUGUGCGUCUGAUUAGCUAGUUGGUAGGGUAACGGCCUACCAAGGCUACGAUCAGUAGGGGGCGUGAGAGCGUGGCCCCCCACACGGGUACUGAGACACGGACCCGACUCCUACGGGAGGCAGCAGUAAGGAAUAUUGGUCAAUGGACGCAAGCCUGAUCCAGCCAUGCCGCGUGCGGGAAGAAGGCCUUCGGGUUGUAAACCGCUUUUGUCAGGGAAGAAAUCCUUUGGGUUAAUACCUCGGAGGGAUGACGGUACCUGAAGAAUAAGCACCGGCUAACUACGUGCCAGCAGCCGCGGUAAUACGUAGGGUG
This 497-nucleotide ribosomal RNA is filed under the name uncultured bacterium. RNAcentral's name for it is "bacterial SSU rRNA". It matches the Rfam family "Bacterial small subunit ribosomal RNA", at positions 40 to 534 of the family's 1533-position model. The record is from RNAcentral.